This 253-nucleotide ribosomal RNA is filed under the name uncultured bacterium. RNAcentral's name for it is "partial 16S ribosomal RNA". It matches the Rfam family "Bacterial small subunit ribosomal RNA", at positions 524 to 776 of the family's 1533-position model. The record is from RNAcentral.
UACAGAGGUCUCAAGCGUUGUUCGGAUUCAUUGGGCGUAAAGGGUGCGUAGGUGGCAUGGUAAGUCGGAUGUGAAAUCCCGGGGCUCAACCCCGGAACUGCAUUCGAUACUGCUGAGCUAGAGUACUGGAGAGGAGAUUGGAAUUUACGGUGUAGCGGUGAAAUGCGUAGAUAUCGUAAGGAAGACCGGUGGCGAAGGCGGGUCUCUGGACAGUUCCUGACACUGAGGCACGAAGGCCAGGGGAGCAAACGGG